CACGUGACUAACCUACCCCGGUGUGGGGGAUAACGGGUCGAAAGACUCGCUAAUCCCGCAUACGAUCCGCCUCGGCGGAGGAAAGCCGUAAGGCGCACUGGGCGGGGGUCGCGUCCCAUUAGAUAGUUGGUGUGGUAAUGGCGCACCAAGUCGAUGAUGGGUCUCUGGUCUGAGAGGACGACCAGACAGAUUGGGACUGAGACACGGCCCAAACUCCUACGGGGGGCAGCAGCAAGGAAUUUUCGGCAAUGGGCGCAAGCCUGACCGAGCAACGCCGCGUGGAGGAUGACGGCUCUUGGGUUGUAAACUCCUUUUGGGGGGGACGAUAAUGACGGUACCCUCCGAAUCAGGCCCGGCUAACUACGUGCCAGCAGCCGCGGUAAUACGUAGGGGCCAAGCGUUGUCCGGAAUUACUGGGCGUAAAGCGUGGGUAGGUGGUCGGUGAUGUGCCGCGUGAAAGCGCCGGAGUAAUGCCGGCGAGGUCGCGGUAGACACACGGACUCGAGGCUCGCAGAGGAACGUGGAAUUCCCGGUGUAGUGGUGAAAUGCGUAGAUAUCGGGAGGAACACCAGUGGCGCAAGCGGCGUUCUGGGCGAGACCUGACACUGAGCCACGACGGCGUGGGGAGCAAACAGGAUUAGAUACCCUGGUAGUCCACG
RNAcentral lists this ribosomal RNA (659 nucleotides) under uncultured bacterium. RNAcentral describes it as "bacterial SSU rRNA". It matches the Rfam family "Bacterial small subunit ribosomal RNA", at positions 114 to 799 of the family's 1533-position model. The record is from RNAcentral.